Molecule: long non-coding RNA, 309 nt
Organism: Tachyglossus aculeatus (Australian echidna)
Lineage: Eukaryota; Metazoa; Chordata; Mammalia; Monotremata; Tachyglossidae
Exons: 3
Source: RefSeq, a predicted model, not a curated record
UCUAUGUACUACUUUUCAGUCUAUUCUCUCCCGGGGUCCUCUUAUUUUAUAUGUACACCUCACUGGUACUUCAUCAACUGAAAGAGCUUCAUAUCAACUGUGACCUUGGAGAUUUCACGACCUCAGUGUGUCCCUGAGAUAAGAAGAGGCCACAGACCCCCAACGCACCCCAAGGAUGAACAGAAGGGUACCCAUGGGCCUGCUGCUAGCUCCUCCACCCAGAGAGCAAACCACACCAGAAUCGCCAGUUCCACUGCUCCUUCAAACAGUGUAAAAUGAAUAAACACCAUUCUGCUCAACUGGGCCUAG